UGAGAAUAUAGCUCAGUUGGUAGAGUGCUUUCUUUAUAUGCACAAGGCCCUGGGUUUGAUCCCCAGCACUUAA
This 73-nucleotide transfer RNA is filed under the name Marmota monax (woodchuck). RNAcentral's name for it is "tRNA.Ile". Lineage: Eukaryota; Metazoa; Chordata; Mammalia; Rodentia; Sciuridae. The record is from RNAcentral.